Misgurnus anguillicaudatus (oriental weatherfish) is the source of this 1109-nucleotide long non-coding RNA. RefSeq lists it as uncharacterized. Lineage: Eukaryota; Metazoa; Chordata; Actinopteri; Cypriniformes; Cobitidae. The record is from RefSeq and is a predicted model, not a curated record.
CUCUCUCUCUCUUUCUGUCUGCAUCCUUCGUACGUGCACAUCCACACUAGCCUUAUGGCUUUACCAUACACAGCUGAACUGAGUCAAACCACUUUCAGUACGCGGGUGGAGCUCAUUGUUGGAGAAGCACGUGAAAGCAUCACACAUCUGUCUCAACUGAGCACAUUUGCACUGCAGCCCGCUUUCAUAAACCAAGCAGGAAAGAAAAUUGCAUAAAUAACCAGGGGUGUCGUUAGCGACAGGAAAAUGAGAUAAUUAAAAAUGGUUCGUUCCCAAAGUACGACGUGCAAAACAGAACGCGCCGCACCCCGCUAUAACUCAGAGAAAAUCCACCGAACAUACGACAGUCACAGCCACGCCCCCUCUGCUCUGUAAUUCGAUAGAUCCAUCCGAAAGGCGGGCCUUUUUCGAAAUACGCCUAUGUCUAUUGGCUGGCUGUCGGGUAAAUCUAAUGCUGAUUUGCAUAAGCAGGUCAGGUUGCGGUUGCAGGGGAGUGGGCAGGGUUGGGAUAGCGCAAGUGAGCUGAACUUCUGCACUGGUGUAGUGUACUAUCCUCAAUUUGGUACUUUAGUGAAAAUGUAAUUUCUUUGAAUAAAAACGUGUCGUAUAUUUUAAUGGGACGUCAGUGAUGGCUGUUCAAUUCUCUCUUUAUCAAGCAAUUAACUGGUUUAUUGGAAUUUGAGUUUUCACAGGGGUUUUCCUUGUCUCCAUGGUUUCCUAUGGCAUCAUAUGGGAAUGUUUGAUUUCUGAAAGCAGGUAAGCCACUGACUAACGCACAUUGCGCCUAAUAUCCAUCCCACUGUGCGUGUGACAGCGGCUAACCAGCUUUUGGAUGUGUGGCUGCCUGUCUUCAUGAAUGUCCCACUUGAGGAUCCCUAAAGGAUCAAAUACAGUCACUGUUAUGGAUCUGACUGCAACGUCAAAGUGAUAGGUUUGAAUCCCAGGGAACAAGUCUCUUUAAAGCAUUUGCUGAAAUGUUAAUUUUGCUGUGACGUCAAGCUACGUGCAGGCAGUCACGAUGAUGUACAUCAUCCAUACUGUACAUGAGCUGAAGGAAAUGUAUUGUGAAAUAUUGAAUAAAUUGUUUAACCUGUUACUCUAGAAUGUUA